GUGGGUAUAGCUCAGUGGUGGAGUGCAUGCUUAGCAUGCAUUAGGUCCUGGGUUCAGUCCCUAGUACUUUCA
RNAcentral lists this transfer RNA (72 nucleotides) under Camelus dromedarius (Arabian camel). It matches the Rfam family "tRNA". Rfam says of the family: Transfer RNA (tRNA) molecules are approximately 80 nucleotides in length. Their secondary structure includes four short double-helical elements and three loops (D, anti-codon, and T loops). RNAcentral also lists the same sequence under 1 other name. Lineage: Eukaryota; Metazoa; Chordata; Mammalia; Artiodactyla; Camelidae. The record is from Rfam by way of RNAcentral.